UACAGAGGUCCCGAGCGUUGUUCGGAUUUAUUGGGCGUAAAGGGUGCGUAGGCGGCGGAGUAAGUUGGGUGUGAAAUCCCGGGGCUUAACCUCGGAAUUGCAUUCAAUACUGCUUCGCUUGAGUACUGGAGAGGAGGCUGGAAUUUACGGUGUAGCAGUGAAAUGCGUAGAUAUCUGGAGGAACACCGGUGGCGAAGGCGGCAUCCUGGACCGGCAUUGACGCUGAGGCGCGAAAGCCAGGGGAGCAAACGGG
This 253-nucleotide ribosomal RNA is filed under the name uncultured bacterium. RNAcentral's name for it is "partial 16S ribosomal RNA". It matches the Rfam family "Bacterial small subunit ribosomal RNA", at positions 524 to 776 of the family's 1533-position model. The record is from RNAcentral.